RNAcentral lists this ribosomal RNA (496 nucleotides) under uncultured bacterium. RNAcentral describes it as "partial 16S ribosomal RNA". It matches the Rfam family "Bacterial small subunit ribosomal RNA", at positions 30 to 523 of the family's 1533-position model. The record is from RNAcentral.
AUUGAACGCUGGCGGAAUGCUUUACACAUGCAAGUCGAACGGGAGAGGGGGCAACCCCUCGAGAGUGGCGAACGGGUGAGUAAUAUAUAGGAACGUGCCCAGUCGUGGGGGAUAACGUAGCGAAAGUUACGCUAAUACCGCAUACGAUCUAGGGAUGAAAGCGGGGGAUCGCAAGACCUCGCGCGAUUGGAGCGGCCGAUAUAAGAUGAGGUAGUUGGUGGGGUAAAGGCUCACCAAGCCAACGAUCUGUAGCUGGUCUGAGAGGACGACCAGCCACACUGGAACUGAGACACGGUCCAGACUCCUACGGGAGGCAGCAGUGGGGAAUUUUGGACAAUGGACACAAGUCUGAUCCAGCCAUUCCGCGUGCAGGAUGAAGGCCCUCGGGUUGUAAACUGCUUUUGUACGGAACGAAAAGGUCUCUCUUAAUACGGGGGACUCAUGACGGUACCGUAAGAAUAAGCACCGGCUAACUACGUGCCAGCCGCCGCCGUAA